CCACUGCUGAGGAGUCCCAUACCAGGACGAAACGGCCGUCCAGUGC
Molecule: non-coding RNA, 46 nt
Organism: Schistosoma curassoni
Lineage: Eukaryota; Metazoa; Platyhelminthes; Trematoda; Strigeidida; Schistosomatidae
Source: Rfam